CCUACGGGAGGCUGCAGUCGAGAAUCAUUCACAAUGGGGGAAACACUGAUGGUGCGACGCCGCGUGGGGGAAUGAAGGUCUUCGGAUCGUAAACCCCUGUCAUGUGGGAGCAAAUGAAAAAGAUAGUACCACAAGAGGAAGAGAUGGCUAACUCUGUGCCAGUAGCCGCGGUAAUACAGAGGGCUCAAGCGUUGUUCGGCAGCACUGGGCGUAAAGCGUGCGUAGGCUGUUUCGUAAGUCGUGUGUGAAAGGCGCGGGCUCAACCCGCGGACGGCACAUGAUACUGGGAGACUAGAGUUAUAGAGGAGGAUGCGGAAUGCUCGGUGUAGCGGUGAAAUGCGUAGAUAUCGAGCGGAACACUCGUGGCGAAGGCGGGUUCCUGGACAUUAACUGACGCUGAGGCACGAAGGCCAGGGGAGCGAAAGGGAUUAGAUACCCGGGUAGUC
Molecule: ribosomal RNA, 446 nt
Filed under: uncultured bacterium
Lineage: Bacteria
Description: partial 16S ribosomal RNA
Rfam family: Bacterial small subunit ribosomal RNA
Source: RNAcentral